This 21-nucleotide non-coding RNA is filed under the name Caenorhabditis elegans. Lineage: Eukaryota; Metazoa; Nematoda; Chromadorea; Rhabditida; Rhabditidae. The record is from RNAcentral.
UUUUUAUUUUGUCUGAUUCAG